RNAcentral lists this ribosomal RNA (655 nucleotides) under uncultured fungus. Its description in RNAcentral is "eukaryotic LSU rRNA". It matches the Rfam family "Eukaryotic large subunit ribosomal RNA", at positions 40 to 612 of the family's 3401-position model. The record is from RNAcentral. Lineage: Eukaryota; Fungi.
AUAUCAAUAAGCGCAGGAAAAGAAACCAACAGGGAUUGCCUCAGUAACGGCGAGUGAAGCGGCAACAGCUCAAAUUUGAAAUCUGGCCUCUCGGGGUCCGAGUUGUAAUUUGUAGAGGAUGUUUUGGGUACCGCCCCGGUUUAAAUUUCUUGGAACAGAAUGUCAAAGAGGGUGAGAAUCCCGUCUUGGACCGGCGGUAGGGCCUAUGUAAAACUCCUUCGACGAGUCGAGUUGUUUGGGAAUGCAGCUCAAAAUGGGUGGUAAAUUUCAUCUAAAGCUAAAUACAGGCACGAGACCGAUAGCGAACAAGUACCGUGAGGGAAAGAUGAAAAGCACUUUGAAAAGAGAGUUAAAUAGCACGUGAAGCCGUUAAAAUGGAAACGAUUGAAGUCAGCAGUGCUCAUGUAGCAAUCAGUCUUUUCGGGGCUGGCAGCGGUGGCUAUUGGAGGGCGCAAGCUCACGUGGUUGCUGUUGAUCCGGUUCAGUGGGAUGUACUUGAUAUGUGAGCGGGUCAGCAUCGGUUCGAUGUGGUGGGGUAAGGUGCGCGGGAAGGUAGCUCUUGACCGAGUGUUAAGCCUGCGUACUGAGACAUCUGUUGGACCGAGGAGUAGCAGCGUUGCCCUCUGGGCUAGAGGCUUGUUUCCGUGGUAUUUUC